UGCUGUUUUAUUUAAAAAUUUGAUCACUCACUCUUCUUUUACCGCUUAUCCGGAACCGGGUCAUGGAGGCAACAGCUCCAGCAGGGGACCCUA
Molecule: long non-coding RNA, 93 nt
Organism: Thalassophryne amazonica
Lineage: Eukaryota; Metazoa; Chordata; Actinopteri; Batrachoidiformes; Batrachoididae
Exons: 3
Source: RefSeq, a predicted model, not a curated record